AAGAAGCGUGUCCUCAACUCUCCAUUAGAUAUGGAUUACAUCAGCAAAAGAAAAGAACUAGAACACCAUGAAAACUUAUUACAUAGUACUCUGCAGUCUGCACACCAAAAUAUGCCAGUAGAGUAUGGCAUAUUCCAUUGUUCUCAGAAGCACAAUUUUGAUCUAAUUGAUCCGAUAGCAAUUCAUGUCCAGUUUCCUUAUGCAACACACAGACCUCAGCUUCACAUUCUUCUGUUUUAUCACCUGCCGCGUUAGAGAUUAGAGUUGAUCCCGAACUGUAUUCAGAGCUGGCUGGGGAUGACUCAUAUACAUCAUGCUCCCUGCGCCAAAAUCAAAUUUAGAUACUGUGGAGGAAAUCUUGAAGGACCUGCGCCAUAUUAAACCCGAAACUUAAGAUCUUUAUAAGAUGUGAAUCAUUGUCAUCAGAACACACAGGUUGGCAGAUUUCGGAGACAGCAUGUCAUUGUGCGGAAACCUCAAAUUUGUUAUAGCUUUAUCUUUUCAUCUUAGCAGAUUAUAUUUCAAAAUGAUGUCGUGUUGGUAUUCUCACAGCUGAAUCUCACAUUAAACCACAGAGAAUUUUCAUCAAUGA
Molecule: long non-coding RNA, 592 nt
Organism: Sesamum indicum (sesame)
Lineage: Eukaryota; Viridiplantae; Streptophyta; Magnoliopsida; Lamiales; Pedaliaceae
Source: RefSeq, a predicted model, not a curated record